This 398-nucleotide ribosomal RNA is filed under the name uncultured bacterium. RNAcentral describes it as "bacterial SSU rRNA". It matches the Rfam family "Bacterial small subunit ribosomal RNA", at positions 29 to 423 of the family's 1533-position model. The record is from RNAcentral.
AGCGAACGUUUGCGGCGGGCUUAACACAUGCAAGUCGAACGGGCUGUUCCUUCGGGGGCAGUCAGUGGCGCACGGGUGCGUAACACGUAGGUAAUCAACCCUCUGGUUGGGGAUAACACUUCGAAAGGAGUGCUAAUACCCGGUAUGGCGCAGCGGUCUUCGGAUCGCGGCGAGAAAGACCCGCAAGGGUUGCCAGAGGACGAGCCUGCGGCCCAUCAGCUAGUUGGCGAGGUAACGGCUCACCAAGGCGAAGACGGGUAGCUGGUCUGAGAGGAUGAUCAGCCACACUGGAACUGAGACACGGUCCAGACUCCUACGGGAGGCAGCAGUGGGGAAUAUUGCGCAAUGGGCGAAAGCCUGACGCAGCCACGCCGCGUGAGCGAUGAAGGCCUUCGGUC